GGGUCGGUGCCCGAGUGGCCAAAGGGAGCAGGCUGUAAACCUGCCGGCGCAAGCCUACGGAGGUUCAAAUCCUUCCCGGCCCACCA
This 86-nucleotide transfer RNA is filed under the name Actinomycetes bacterium. RNAcentral describes it as "Actinobacteria bacterium tRNA-Tyr". It matches the Rfam family "tRNA". Rfam says of the family: Transfer RNA (tRNA) molecules are approximately 80 nucleotides in length. Their secondary structure includes four short double-helical elements and three loops (D, anti-codon, and T loops). RNAcentral also lists the same sequence under 1 other name. The record is from RNAcentral. Lineage: Bacteria; Bacillati; Actinomycetota; Actinomycetes.